This 496-nucleotide ribosomal RNA is filed under the name uncultured bacterium. RNAcentral describes it as "partial 16S ribosomal RNA". It matches the Rfam family "Bacterial small subunit ribosomal RNA", at positions 28 to 507 of the family's 1533-position model. The record is from RNAcentral.
GAUGAACGCUGGCGGCGUGCCUAAUACAUGCAAGUCGAGCGAACGGACGAGAAGCUUGCUUCUCUGAUGUUAGCGGCGGACGGGUGAGUAACACGUGGAUACCUACCUAUAAGACUGGGAUAACUUCGGGAAACCGGAGCUAAUACCGGAUAAUAUUUUGAACCGCCUGGUUCAAAAGUGAAAGACGGUCUUGCUGUCACUUAUAGAUGGAUCCGCGCUGCAUUAGCUAGUUGGUAAGGUAACGGCUUACCAAGGCAACGAUGCAUAGCCGACCUGAGAGGGUGAUCGGCCACACUGGAACUGAGACACGGUCCAGACUCCUACGGGAGGCAGCAGUAGGGAAUCUUCCGCAAUGGGCGAAAGCCUGACGGAGCAACGCCGCGUGAGUGAUGAAGGUCUUCGGAUCGUAAAACUCUGUUAUUAGGGAAGAACAUAUGUGUAAGUAACUGUGCACAUCUUGACGGUACCUAAUCAGAAAGCCACGGCUAACUACGUG